This 205-nucleotide long non-coding RNA is filed under the name Brassica rapa (field mustard). RNAcentral's name for it is "long non-coding RNA (BRAP_LNC000213)". Lineage: Eukaryota; Viridiplantae; Streptophyta; Magnoliopsida; Brassicales; Brassicaceae. The record is from RNAcentral.
UUUUUUGUUUUUUUUUUUUGCAGUUUUCACACCAUCUCAUGAGUUUGCAUGAUCUACCUUAUACUUUUAAGGUUUGUUAACUUCUUUGUCCACAUAAUUUUUGGAAAACAUACAUGAAAUGUAUUUUAACAAAAUUGAUGAUUUCAUUUUAUUGGGGCAAAGACAUGUACACAUAAAGAAGUGGUACAACUGAGGUAAGUUUAAA